AGAGUUUGAUCCUGGCUCAGAUUGAACGCUGGCGGCAUGCCUUACACAUGCAAGUCGAACGGCAGCACGGACUUCGGUCUGGUGGCGAGUGGCGAACGGGUGAGUAAUAUAUCGGAACGUACCCUGGAGUGGGGGAUAACGCAGCGAAAGUUGCGCUAAUACCGCAUACGAUCUACGGAUGAAAGUGGGGGCUCGCAAGACCUCAUGCUCGUGGAGCGGCCGAUAUCUGAUUAGCUAGUUGGUAGGGUAAAAGCCUACCAAGGCUUCGAUCAGUAGCUGGUCUGAGAGGACGACCAGCCACACUGGGACUGAGACACGGCCCAGACUCCUACGGGAGGCAGCAGUGGGGAAUUUUGGACAAUGGUGGCAACCCUGAUCCAGCAAUGCCGCGUGAGUGAAGAAGGCCUUCGGGUUGUAAAGCUCUUUUGUCAGGGAAGAAACGGUGAAGGCUAAUACUCUUUGCUAAUGACGGUACCUGAAGAA
RNAcentral lists this ribosomal RNA (483 nucleotides) under uncultured bacterium. Its description in RNAcentral is "bacterial SSU rRNA". It matches the Rfam family "Bacterial small subunit ribosomal RNA", at positions 8 to 486 of the family's 1533-position model. The record is from RNAcentral.